UAUUUUCCUUUUUUGCCAGCCGCCGCGGUAAUACGGAGGAUCCGAGCGUUAUCCGGAUUUAUUGGGUUUAAAGGGAGCGUAGGUGGACUGGUAAGUCAGUUGUGAAAGUUUGCGGCUCAACCGUAAAAUUGCAGUUGAUACUGUCAGUCUUGAGUACAGUAGAGGUGGGCGGAAUUCGUGGUGUAGCGGUGAAAUGCUUAGAUAUCACGAAGAACUCCGAUUGCGAAGGCAGCUCACUGGACUGCAACUGACACUGAUGCUCGAAAGUGUGGGUAUCAAACAGG
Molecule: ribosomal RNA, 284 nt
Filed under: Bacteroides fragilis NCTC 9343
Lineage: Bacteria; Pseudomonadati; Bacteroidota; Bacteroidia; Bacteroidales; Bacteroidaceae
Description: partial 16S ribosomal RNA
Rfam family: Bacterial small subunit ribosomal RNA
Source: RNAcentral